UGGGGAAUCUUGCACAAUGGGCGAAAGCCUGAUGCAGCGACGCCGCGUGCGGGAUGAAGGCCCUAUGGGUUGUAAACCGCUUUCAGCAGGGAAGAGGCCGCAAGGUGACGGUACCUGCAGAAGAAGCCCCGGCUAACUACGUGCCAGCAGCCGCGGUAAUACGUAGGGGGCAAGCGUUAUCCGGAUUCAUUGGGCGUAAAGCGCUCGUAGGCGGCUUGUUUGGUCGGGAGUCAAAUCCCGGGGCUCAACCCCGGCACGCUUCCGAUACCGGCAGGCUUGAGUUUGGUAGGGGAAAGUGGAAUUCCAAGUGUAGCGGUGGAAUGCGCAGAUAUUUGGAAGAACACCAGUGGCGAAGGCGGCUUUCUGGGCCAUAACUGACGCUGAGGAGCGAAAGCUAGGGGAGCAAACAG
RNAcentral lists this ribosomal RNA (410 nucleotides) under uncultured bacterium. RNAcentral describes it as "bacterial SSU rRNA". It matches the Rfam family "Bacterial small subunit ribosomal RNA", at positions 355 to 775 of the family's 1533-position model. The record is from RNAcentral.